Molecule: ribosomal RNA, 253 nt
Filed under: uncultured bacterium
Lineage: Bacteria
Description: partial 16S ribosomal RNA
Rfam family: Bacterial small subunit ribosomal RNA
Source: RNAcentral
GACGAGCCUCACAAACGUUAUUCGGAAUUACUGGGCUUAAAGGGUGCGUAGGCGGCGCGGAAAGUUGGGUGUGAAAUCCCUCGGCUUAACCGAGGAACUGCGCCCAAAACUACCGUGCUCGAGGAAGAUAGAGGUGAGCGGAACUUACGGUGGAGCGGUGAAAUGCGUUGAUAUCGUAAGGAACACCCGUGGCGAAAGCGGCUCACUGGGUCUUUUCUGACGCUGAUGCACGAAAGCUAGGGGAGCAAACGGG